This 216-nucleotide ribosomal RNA is filed under the name Glomeromycotina sp. Its description in RNAcentral is "partial small subunit ribosomal RNA". The stretch from base 40 to 216 matches the Rfam family "Eukaryotic small subunit ribosomal RNA", at positions 686 to 864 of the family's 1831-position model. Lineage: Eukaryota; Fungi; Glomeromycota. The record is from RNAcentral.
GGGUCAGUAGGUUGGUCGUGCCACCGGUACGUACUGGUCUCACUGAUUCCUCCUUCCUGAAGAACCGUAAUGCCAUUAAUUUGGUGUUGCGGGGAAACAGGGCUGUUACUUUGAAAAAAUUAGAGUGUUUAAAGCAAGCUAACGCUUGAAUACAUUAGCAUGGAAUAGUGAAAUAGGACGAUCGAUCCUAUUUUGUUGGUUUCUAGGAUUGACGUA